Molecule: long non-coding RNA, 221 nt
Filed under: Physcomitrium patens
Lineage: Eukaryota; Viridiplantae; Streptophyta; Bryopsida; Funariales; Funariaceae
Description: long non-coding RNA (PPAT_LNC008760)
Source: RNAcentral
UACAACAUAAUUUAAUAAAUCCGAUGUAAAAAGCUUGAAGAAGAAGAUGUUUGGAAUUUUUUUGGUUUAUUGAAAUUAUGGAGAAUGAAGGCAAGAGAAUGGAAGGAAAGGCUUUGGAUGGUACUUUAAUUAGUACUUCAACUGGAAUUGGAAGUAGAGCUACAAGUAGAGGAUAAGAUAUGUAUAUUUUUUCUAAUUCUAUGAGCAUGUUUGAGGCUUUU